This 645-nucleotide ribosomal RNA is filed under the name Streptomyces sp. 2114_5. RNAcentral's name for it is "partial 16S ribosomal RNA". It matches the Rfam family "Bacterial small subunit ribosomal RNA", at positions 100 to 758 of the family's 1533-position model. Lineage: Bacteria; Bacillati; Actinomycetota; Actinomycetes; Kitasatosporales; Streptomycetaceae. The record is from RNAcentral.
GAAAAAGUGAGUAACACGUGGGCAAUCUGCCCUUCACUCUGGGACAAGCCCUGGAAACGGGGUCUAAUACCGGAUACGACACACGACCGCAUGGUCUGUGUGUNNAAAGCUCCGGCGGUGAAGGAUGAGCCCGCGGCCUAUCAGCUUGUUGGUGGGGUGAUGGCCUACCAAGGCGACGACGGGUAGCCGGCCUGAGAGGGCGACCGGCCACACUGGGACUGAGACACGGCCCAGACUCCUACGGGAGGCAGCAGUGGGGAAUAUUGCACAAUGGGCGAAAGCCUGAUGCAGCGACGCCGCGUGAGGGAUGACGGCCUUCGGGUUGUAAACCUCUUUCAGCAGGGAAGAAGCGAAAGUGACGGUACCUGCAGAAGAAGCGCCGGCUAACUACGUGCCAGCAGCCGCGGUAAUACGUAGGGCGCAAGCGUUGUCCGGAAUUAUUGGGCGUAAAGAGCUCGUAGGCGGCUUGUCACGUCGGAUGUGAAAGCCCGGGGCUUAACCCCGGGUCUGCAUUCGAUACGGGCAGGCUAGAGUUCGGUAGGGGAGAUCGGAAUUCCUGGUGUAGCGGUGAAAUGCNCAGAUAUCANGANNAACACCGGUGGCGAANGCGGAUCUCUGGGGCNNUACUGACNCUGAGNANCNAAG